This 253-nucleotide ribosomal RNA is filed under the name uncultured bacterium. RNAcentral's name for it is "partial 16S ribosomal RNA". It matches the Rfam family "Bacterial small subunit ribosomal RNA", at positions 524 to 776 of the family's 1533-position model. The record is from RNAcentral.
UACGUAGGGGGCGAGCGUUGUUCGGAAUUACUGGGCGUAAAGGGCUCGUAGGCGGCCAACUAAGUCGGACGUGAAAUCCCUCGGCUUAACCGGGGAACUGCGUCCGAUACUGGAUGGCUUGAGUUCGGGAGAGGGAUGCGGAAUUCCAGGUGUAGCGGUGAAAUGCGUAGAUAUCUGGAGGAACACCGAUGGCGAAGGCAGGUCUCUGGGCUGACACUGACGCUCAUGCACGAAAGCGUGGGGAGCAAACAGG